RNAcentral lists this non-coding RNA (96 nucleotides) under Peptococcaceae bacterium. Its description in RNAcentral is "Glycine sequence". It matches the Rfam family "Glycine riboswitch aptamer". From Rfam's summary of the family: This family represents the bacterial glycine riboswitch. Glycine riboswitches usually consist of two metabolite-binding aptamers domains with similar structures in tandem. The aptamers cooperatively bind glycine to regulate the expression of downstream genes. The record is from RNAcentral. Lineage: Bacteria; Bacillati; Bacillota; Clostridia; Eubacteriales; Peptococcaceae.
GGACGGGAUUCUGGAGAGUGCCUGCCAAAGGCGGGCCACCAAAGGAGCAACUUGACUUUCAAGUAAACUCUCAGGUAAAAGGACAGAAGUAUGGCA